This is a long non-coding RNA of Physella acuta, 1312 nucleotides long. RefSeq lists it as uncharacterized. Lineage: Eukaryota; Metazoa; Mollusca; Gastropoda; Physidae. The record is from RefSeq and is a predicted model, not a curated record.
UUGUGUAUGCCAUUUAAGCCAGGAUGUAGGCUACUAGGCUAUGAUAGUACUACCAUGUAGCUGGGGAUGCUUAAUGAGGAGAUGGAGAUCCCUCUCCAACACCAAUAAUGGCCAUGACAGCAGCGGCCAAAGACGCCACCACAACACAGUGGAGUACAAGAAUGACGCGCUUGAUUAAGAUUGUCUGGAAACAAUAAGAAUUCAAACUUGUUUUUCCGUUUUAAUUCAAUUUCAUUAUUACCACUAGAAAAUUAUUAGGGUCAAAAUAUUUUAAUAAUAAUAGUUAAAAAUAAAAAUAAAAAAAUGGAACAAACCUUUUUACUUUCGGAGCCUGGGGGAUUAACUUUCGGGUUGUCAGAACUUCCCAUCUCAUAAGUAUCUUGAGUGACUGCAAUAAGCAACAUAAAUAUAUCCUAGUGUUAUUUACUCAGCCACACCUUGUUUUAUUUAUUUUAACAGGAUAUAAAUAAAAUAAUAACAAAAACUUCAGUAAAUAAAUAUAUACGAGUAAGGCAUGAAUUGAUGCCUUAUUUGUUUUAUGAUUAUAAUGCACAGUAUCAUUCUGAUCUGAGCUCUAGAAAAUUUAAAUUUGUGUUUAUUUCAUGCAAGCUACUUAUACAUAUUUUCUGUGUCUUUUUCAUUUGGCUGAGAUAUUCUUUGUCUGACUUAACCUAAUCCAACCUAAACCCAACUAAUUAAUCAUCUUUUUGUCAGCUAAAAUGUCAAGUUUUGCUUACUUAUCCUCUUGUCACAGAGAGUGAUCAGCUCCAAUAAAAUCUCUACAAACAAGAUCCAGGCCACAUAUGCCCCUAAGAUAUAGACAGUGUAGUAAGGUGUGACAGCACCUCUGAGGCGCACACCAAAGAAAAUGGCGAUCACUGAAAUGCUUGUAAAAUCUGGCAGUGAUGAUCCCAAUACUUGAAAAGAUCAACCAAGCAGCAACCAUCAAACAGCCUUCAAUUAAAGGGCAAACAUUAAUUUAAAAAACUUUAAGAUAAAUUCUUGAUUAAUGUACUAGCUACUAUUACUAAACUGCUAAAUAUUUGCACAUUCUUGUGUUUUGACUUGAAAAAAAAUCUUUAAAAUUUAACUGUGGCUUUCUAAUUAAAUUUUAUAAUUUGUCUUAUGAACACAAGUUGUAUAGUUAAACUAAGGAUUUUCAUGAAAUGUAUACAUUGUCAUUAGCUUUACUACUUUAAAUGUCUUGUCACUUUUUGUCUUCAAUUAUAAAAUUCUAUAUAUCAUAUGCACAUCUUUCUCACAUAAACCAAAGUGUUUACCAUGGGCUUUAUACAUGGGAUUACCCUCCCCC